CAGGAUUAACGCUGGCGGCGUGCCUAAUACAUGCAAGUCGAAUGGUAGCAAUACCAUGGCGAACGGGUGAGUAACACGUAGGUAACCUGUCUUUAAGCCGAGGAUAACCAUUGGAAACGAUGGAUAAUACUGGAUAGGACAUUUGAAGGCAUCUUUAGAUGUUUAAAGAUUUAUCACUUAGAGAGGGGCCUGCGGCGCAUUAGCUAGUUGGUGAGGUGAAGGCUUACCAAGGCGAUGAUGCGUAGCCGGACUGAGAGGUUGAACGGCCACAAUGGAACUGAGAACGGUCCAUACUCCUACGGGAGGCAGCAGUAGGGAAUUUUCGGCAAUGGGCGGAAGCCUGAACCCGAGCAACGCCGCGUGAACGAAGAAGUAUUUCGGUAUGUAAAGUUCUUUUAUUAGGGACGAAAAGACAGAUUGACGGUACCUAAUGAAUAAGCUCCGGCUAACUACGUGCCAGCAGCCGC
Molecule: ribosomal RNA, 467 nt
Filed under: uncultured bacterium
Lineage: Bacteria
Description: bacterial SSU rRNA
Rfam family: Bacterial small subunit ribosomal RNA
Source: RNAcentral